Non-coding RNA from Dermatophagoides farinae (American house dust mite), 792 nucleotides. The record is from RefSeq and is a predicted model, not a curated record. Lineage: Eukaryota; Metazoa; Arthropoda; Arachnida; Sarcoptiformes; Pyroglyphidae.
UAAAAUAAAAAAUGACGAUAGUCAUCAACAACAUCAUCAUACAUAAGUGGGAUAUAUAUAUAUAUAUUCGAAUGUUCAAAUUUCAGCUGCUCCCACGGUAUUAUAAACUUGGCAAAAGUGUUUCUGGUCUUUUGGUCUCUCACUCUGUGUGUGUGUGUGUGUGUGUGCGUCCUGUUUAUGCUUAUGUAUCGUCGUCUCUUUCAAUUUCAAAAAAAAAAAAAAAAAAAAAUAACGACAAACCAUGAUGAUGAUGAUGAUGAAGAUCAAAUCCAAUGGCGCGCAAUGUGUGUGUGUGUGUGUGUAUGAUGGAAACAAACAAGAUUCAAUAUGCAUCAAGAAGACCAUAUAUCAUCAUCAUCAUCAUCAUCAAUGCCCGUUUACCAACAACAUUUAUAUAGUUGAUGGCCGUCUGUUCACAUCAAACAUUUCUAUGUGUGUGUGUGUGUACAAAAGUUUCGAGGUUUUUUCUCAAUCCAUCCAUCCACCAAUUUCAUUCAUUCAUUCAUUUAUUAAUUGAACAACCAUUCGUAUGGAACGAAAUGAAAUGAAAUGAAAAUGUUCAGUUUUAAAAUGGCAUGGUAACGUGUGUGUUUAACGUGAAAAAAAACCUAACCGAUUUUAUAAUCCAGUUCACAUAACCAAUGAAUCAACGAAUCAAAACGUGUGCACGUCUAUUGCAACUUGUAUAGGUAACCAGACGAGAAAAAAAAACGUUCGAAUCUAUUUUACAUGUAAUGAUGAUGUACAUUGAUGAGAAAAAUUACGCGCCAUUUCAUCGUUGAUUUUAGUGAA